UAACCACUCAAGCAUAGCUUGGUAUUGGAGUUCGCGGUCUCGCGGCUCUUAAAAUUAGUGGCGGUGCCGUCUGGCUCUAAGCGUAGUAAUUCUCUCGCUAUAGGGUUCCGGUGGUUGCUUGCCAAAACCCCCAACUCUCAC
This 141-nucleotide unclassified non-coding RNA is filed under the name uncultured Helotiales. Its description in RNAcentral is "sequence contains ITS2". The record is from RNAcentral. Lineage: Eukaryota; Fungi; Ascomycota; Leotiomycetes; Helotiales.